UGGGGAAUUUUGGACAAUGGGCGCAAGCCUGAUCCAGCCAUGCCGCGUGAGUGACGAAGGCCUUAGGGUUGUAAAGCUCUUUUGGCGGGGACGAUAAUGACGGUACCCGCAGAAUAAGCCCCGGCUAACUUCGUGCCAGCAGCCGCGGUAAUACGAAGGGGGCUAGCGUUGUUCGGAAUUACUGGGCGUAAAGCGCACGUAGGCGGAUUUGUCAGUCAGGGUGAAAUCCCGAGGCUCAACCUCGGAACUGCCUCCGAUACAGCAAGUCUCGAGUCCGGAAGAGGUGAGUGGAAUUCCUAGUGUAGAGGUGAAAUUCGUAGAUAUUAGGAAGAACACCAGUGGCGAAGGCGGCUCACUGGUCCGGUACUGACGCUGAGGUGCGAAAGCGUGGGGAGCAAACAGGAUUAGAUACCCCAGUAGUCCCUGAGCGGGCUGGCAAGGCGCAU
This 446-nucleotide ribosomal RNA is filed under the name uncultured bacterium. RNAcentral describes it as "bacterial SSU rRNA". It matches the Rfam family "Bacterial small subunit ribosomal RNA", at positions 355 to 825 of the family's 1533-position model. The record is from RNAcentral.